CAUUACAUGCACCGCGUCUCUUCCCUUUCUCUCUUCCAUUUCUGUUUAAUUUUCUAAUCAUCGUUUUCACCCUUAAUUUAAAAAAUAGCCAGUCUCAGAUAGUAGUAAAAUUCCAGUAUUUGAGAAGUAACCAGAAUGGGAAAAUUCGAUUGGAGAUACGUUACGUUGUUCGUGCUUAUACUUGUUUGGAGUGUAAAUGGCGGAAUUGAAGGAGUGAUCAAAGUGAAUUAUAAAUUUUCCGGGUCGGAAAGGAAUUUACGUGCCCUAAAAGCUCAUGAUGAAAUGCGCCACCUCAGAAUCCUCGCCGGCAUCGACCUCCCUAUCGGCGGCAUUGGCCGUCCUGAUUCCGUCGGGCUUUAUUAUGCUAAGAUUGGGGUUGGAACACCUUCAAAUAGUUAUUAUGUCCAAGUGGAUACAGGAAGUGACAUUAUGUGGGUUAACUGCAUUACGUGUCAAGAAUGCCCCAGAAGAGGCUAUCAUGGUCUGGAGCUAACACUCUACAAUCCAAGGGAUUCUCUCACUGGUAAACUCAUUGUUUGUGGUCACUCAUUUUGCAAAGACAUCGACAGAGGUUCAGGAUCAGGCUGCUCUGGUAAUACUUCUUGUACUUAUAGUCAAGUUUAUGGAGAUGGAAGCUAUAGUAGGGGCUACUUUGUGGAGGAUGUUGUCCAAUAUGAUCAGGUGUCAGGUGAUCUCCAAACUAAAUCAUCAAAUGGGAGUGUUAUUUUUGGGUGUGGUGCUUCACAAUCUGGGGAUCUGAGUUCCUCUGAUGAAGCUCUUGAUGGGGUUCUUGGAUUUGGGAAAUCAAAUUCAUCCAUGCUUUCCCAGCUGGCUUCAUCUGGAAGAGUGACGAAAAAGUUUGCACACUGCUUAGAUAGUGUGAACGGUGGUGGUAUUUUUGCCAUUGGGAAUGUUGUGCAACCAAAAGUAAACAUGACUCCUUUGGUACCUAAUCAGCCACAUUACAAUGUCAAUAUGAUGGCAGUUGAAGUUGGUUAUCAGUUUCUAAACCUGUCUGUUGAUGUACUUAUGAAUGGAGAGAACAAUGGAGUAAUAAUUGAUAGUGGAACAACAUUGGCUUAUCUUCCUGAGGUGAUUUAUGGUCCACUAGUGAAAAAGAUAUUCUCCUGGCAACCUGAUCUGAAAUUGCGUACAAUUCAUGAUGAGUAUACAUGCUUUGAAUACUCUGGAAGGUAUGGAGCAUACUGAGCACUCAUCUCUUUACGCAGUCUGUAAGUGCAUGAUGUUACUUUGUCUUUCUAACUUGUGGUUUCUUCUUUAUUUCAUCAUGUUACUCUUUCAAUUUCUCAAUCAACAUCCUUAUGAAGGAUAACUUAGCUGCUGCUCUGUGCUUCAAGCGUGUUUAUUCUGGAGCAGUGGCAAUUGGAUUCUAAAGGGCCGUCAUGCUAUCAGUUAUACUCUACUUCUCAAGAUAUUGUUCGCAAGAGGUGGAAUACGAUGGCUAAUUCUAUCUCAAGAUGAACUGAAAAUUGAUAAAUGCAUUGAUUCAAAUUCUUGUAUCAAACUAGUGGAAAUAAAAUAAGGUCGAGCAAUUUGCGCUGAUCCAUGUGACGCCUAGCAUAAUGUGCAUGAUAGUUCAAGAUUAGCAAUGUAAUAUAUGUCAAAAGAAUCAGAAGUCCUUUAUUAUAAUGACUUGGAUCCUAUAAAAGACUAGCAAUCAAGUUACUAGAAUAACUGUCAAUUUGGCUUGCAAUAAAGCUAUUUCAAUGGUGGUGUUUGGUAUGAUGAUCACUAUGCGGGAUAAAGAUCUUUUAGCAUGUAAAGCAGUUUUGCUCUCUAUUUAUUCUGUCUUGUGCCAGUUGUAAAGAUCAUGGUUUUAGCAACACAUAUUUCACUGAUUUUGCAUCCAUGCCUUGGCUUUGAACCUAGCCCAACAUAGUCUUUUGCUUGGAAAGUAUUCUUAUAAAACCAAACUUUUUGAACAUUGUUUUUAUUACAUAAUACCAUUACUAGUCAGAAUUAGUUAGUUUGGCAACUAUAUGAAGUAAAACAGCUAUGGAAAUUUACUUUCUGAUAUAUUGGUCCACUUGAAUAUGAAGACGCUUAACUUAUGGCGCGGGUAUUUAACUAGUUGCCUUAAAAAAUUUGCUAGUAAACUUGUCAAAAGAAAAACACAGAAUGAGAAAGAUUAUCUUAUACGGGGGACUUGUUUCCGGUGGAAGGCCACGUGGAGGAAUGAACUUUUGUUGAUGAUGGAUUCCCUCAAGUCACUUUUCAUUUUGAAAAUUCUCUUUCUUUAAGAGUUAGACCCCACGAGUAUCUA
This is a non-coding RNA of Nicotiana tabacum (common tobacco), 2284 nucleotides long. NCBI's taxonomy places the organism in Eukaryota, Viridiplantae, Streptophyta, Magnoliopsida, Solanales, Solanaceae. The record is from RefSeq and is a predicted model, not a curated record.